CCCGCCCCACACGUGCCCCGCCCCACACGAGCUGCCGCGCGCCGCUGCAAUGGCCCCACCCACCGACAAACGCCGGGGAAGCGGAAAGAGCGGGAGCUGGCGUGGGACGGGAGAGGGAAGGCUGGGUGCGUUCCCCUCCUAGAAAGGGUGGGGAAGCAAAACCCUUUGCAGCUCCUGGUCUAGAAGGAUCCUUCGUGGUGGGACGCUGGGUCUGAGGUUCCGGGCACACACAGAGAACAAACCGAGGAGAAAAAAACGCACCCUACCAAUAAAUUACGGUGAAAGGACCUUGCCUUAGAAAAGGAAAUGCCCAGGCUUCAUCUGAGCCCUGGGAUGGUGGGGGAAGAGUUGUAGGAAACAAAUGGCUUGAGGGGCUUAACACAACCCAGUCUCCGCCCCCCCCAACCCGGCUCAAGUCUUGACAACGUUCCUUCCGGUCAGCCUGUCCCCUUGCCACAGUCCAUGAAGUGACACCAUUCUUAAGGCUUCUCAAAAGCACCGUUAUUUCAGUUAAUUCCAGCAAGCUGGACUACACUUAACAUAUGCCCUUUGGUGGAGUGGAGACGACUUGUCUGUCCUGUCCAAGCUUAAAUACCAAGGGAAUGACUUUAAAUCUUGCUGGAUGGAACUGCCACUCACCGCUAGAAAUCGGGGAUCAACAGCGAACUCUGGAUGACCCUGUAACCACAUCUCCAGUUCAGCCCGGCGAGGGGCAUCCUCACCCACCAGCAAAGUACCAUCCACCUUAUUGAUGACAGGGAUCCGGGUCUCCAGGUCCACAUCAAGGUGAUUAGGCUCUUCCAUGCACUCCACCUCCAGCUGCAAACCCAGAAUCCACCCCCAUGAGCACAUACUCUUCUUUGGGGCAGGGAGGGAGGGGGAGUAGAGCCAAUGGUAGCCAUAAAAUAAUUCUAGUAUCUUCUAGUCCCUUAAUCCCAACUGCCUUCAUCAAUUAGUAGGAAUAAAAAAAAAUCUAAUCAUCACAUUAAAGACUUUUUCUAUCACUCA
Molecule: long non-coding RNA, 1008 nt
Organism: Felis catus (domestic cat)
Lineage: Eukaryota; Metazoa; Chordata; Mammalia; Carnivora; Felidae
Exons: 3
Source: RefSeq, a predicted model, not a curated record